CUUGACCUUGUUCUGUGAAUUGUUCCUUUCUCAGGAUCAUAGAAUCACUAACUGAAAAAACAGAGACUUGGAAGUUGAAGUAAAAAACAAAUGUCAGCUUUCACCUUUCACAUAGCAUUCACUCCCCUGGUGGUAGUCAGAGGAGAACACUGUUGAGAGCUCCUGGGACAGAAGCCAGGAAUGCAGCCCUGGAGAUCCUGGUGGGGGAAGAAAGGCUGACAACCAGAAUCAGCUCUCUGCUGUGCAGUCAGGGGGAGAGGUUCCAGUACCCCAGCUUUCCCUUUUCCCACUCCACGGCUCAGAAACUCAGGUUGUCAGAAGGAGAGGAGCCAAUGCGAAGAACUCAGAGAGCAGUGCACCAUUUCUUCCUCUUCCCAGAUAUACGCGAGGUGACUGAAAAGUACCAUGAAUGUUUCCAUUUUCUAAAAUUUAUUACAGUGAAAAGACACAUU
Molecule: long non-coding RNA, 452 nt
Filed under: Chinchilla lanigera (long-tailed chinchilla)
Lineage: Eukaryota; Metazoa; Chordata; Mammalia; Rodentia; Chinchillidae
Description: lncRNA (ENSCLAG00000024680.1)
Source: RNAcentral